This 1503-nucleotide long non-coding RNA is filed under the name Dermacentor andersoni. RNAcentral describes it as "uncharacterized LOC126518074". The record is from RNAcentral. Lineage: Eukaryota; Metazoa; Arthropoda; Arachnida; Ixodida; Ixodidae.
GGUACUGAUCGUUUGAUCAUAUUUACGCGGUGCGUAGAGAACAUGUGCUCCUUUUUUGUGUGAAUUAACGAUCACUGAGCCCUGGGUCCUGUGCAAUGCUAUUAGCUCGCUGUAUGUUUCUUGCGGUGCGCCGUUGUUGAUUAUCGUAGUGCGGUCCACACGCGCUUUCUUUGUGCCCGGCUCAUGAGAAGUGUUGUACUCUCGCCGCUCCCGCAUCGGCUCACAGUGCACGGAAGAAUGUGUUGAUAGUUGUGCUAUCGCGUGCUGUAGUUCACCGCAAUUCAACACUACGCUGGACGGACUGUUGGUGCAGUCGAUACGGCGUGAACGGCCACGAAGGAGCGCUCGCCUCAGAAGGUAAGUCCGGCGCCUAGCGCAUUCUUAUGGUUCAUGUAGUGUACCUUGUCAUGCGCAGCAGAUGAUUAGUACAGCUACAAAAACAGUGACAGUGAUUCCCUAAUGUUCGUUCGAUAUCGUAGUGCACAUUUAGGAAAACGUUUCACGAAAAUUACCCCGAGAUUGAUGUUGUUAAGAGCUUCAUCUAUUGUUUAUUUUCUUUUUGUUAUGAAGUAUGCUAGCGCCGGGGCAUCGCUUGGUCUGAACGGGCACAAAAAUUCAAGCAGGGAAUGUCACUGCUUCUGUACGUAAUUCCUCAGCAAGAAAUCGUAUAGACAAUUCUAGAAGUACGUUGAUGUGUUGUGCAAAUGUUUUCACAGCUAACGUCAACGCGCGACGGCAUCCAAAUGAUCUGACUCGUGAGAAGAUUUUAGCUUGUAUGCAAACUUUGAUGCUUAUAGAUUGUCGCCAAGACAACCUGUAUUUCUUGUGUUUAGUGUUCUGUUUGUUUUCGUGCCUUUGACAUGUUUAAUAACCGCCUGUGAUGUAAGAAUGAAAUAUUUAUUUGUCUAAGCGGAUGCAGCUUCUUGUAGCUGGCUGUACGAGAGCUUUCCACAAUUUGACGCGAUGUUGUUAAAUCACAAGUUUGCAGAUUCAGCAGUGAUUACAAUAAGCUGAACAUUUAUUGUUUAGGGAUGUCACAAUUUCCUGAGACGGCGGCAUCUCUGCACCACAAAGGAGACUGCGGCACUAUGCAGCCUGAACAGCACGACAAAGCAUCUGAUCUGCCUGCUUUGACAAGAUGUGGCUGGGCCUGCAGAAAGAGUGUAAGCACACUACUGUGUUGCUGAUCAGUGCUGGUGCUGAUCUCUACGUCUGAGUUGGCCUCACAACGUCCAGGCGCCACUGUGCUUUGCUUCAUUGACAAGGUGUGGCUGGGCCUGCAGAAAAGCUGUAAGCAGACUGCAGUGUUGCUGAUCAGUGCUGAUCUCCACGUCCGAGUUGGUCCCACAAUAUCCAGGCACCACGGUGCUUUCACAAGAGGCAUACGAGCACUUUGUUUCAAAAACACCAAGCACCGUGGAUACAGAGGCAAGGAGGCUGAAGGACCUGAACAAGCACCUGGCCACCAUGCUUUGGGAUGCAAAAUAAAGAUGGUUUGUGUUA